This 75-nucleotide transfer RNA is filed under the name Loxodonta africana (African savanna elephant). It matches the Rfam family "tRNA". Rfam says of the family: Transfer RNA (tRNA) molecules are approximately 80 nucleotides in length. Their secondary structure includes four short double-helical elements and three loops (D, anti-codon, and T loops). Further hydrogen bonds mediate the characteristic L-shaped molecular structure. tRNAs have two regions of fundamental functional importance: the anti-codon, which is responsible for specific mRNA codon recognition, and the 3' end, to which the tRNAs corresponding amino acid is attached (by aminoacyl-tRNA synthetases). tRNAs cope with the degeneracy of the genetic code in two manners: having more than one tRNA (with a specific anti-codon) for a particular amino acid; and 'wobble' base-pairing, i.e. permitting non-standard base-pairing at the 3rd anti-codon position. The record is from Rfam by way of RNAcentral. Lineage: Eukaryota; Metazoa; Chordata; Mammalia; Proboscidea; Elephantidae.
GGAGACUUGGUUUCACAGUGGUUAAGCACUUGGUUGCUAACCAAAAGGUGGGUGGUUUGAAUCCACCAGCCUUCG